RNAcentral lists this microRNA precursor (227 nucleotides) under Dimocarpus longan. RNAcentral's name for it is "partial precursor microRNA MIR2118". Lineage: Eukaryota; Viridiplantae; Streptophyta; Magnoliopsida; Sapindales; Sapindaceae. The record is from RNAcentral.
ACCCCACCACCAUCGAGGUCACCAUCACCACCGGGUCCACCACACCCACUAUCUACGCCUGCUUUCCACUGCCCACGAAACCCUUUUUAACAUUUCCAUAAACACCAUCCACCUUUCACUCUCUGAAUCACAAACACACUUACCCCUCAUACCUGAUUAAGACAACAUCGUCAGAAAAUAUGGAGAAGUUGGAGAGCAAGUUUUGUGCUGGAGGAAGUUAGCGGCGA